Salarias fasciatus (jewelled blenny) is the source of this 1222-nucleotide long non-coding RNA. RefSeq lists it as uncharacterized. The record is from RefSeq and is a predicted model, not a curated record. NCBI's taxonomy places the organism in Eukaryota, Metazoa, Chordata, Actinopteri, Blenniiformes, Blenniidae. The transcript is spliced from 3 exons.
CAACACCUCCUACAACUCCACCCAGCCGGCCGUCAAUCACUCUGCACACUUCCUGUUUCCUGACGCAGAGCCCGCCCACCGUGGAAACUACAGCUGUGUUUAUCACCUCCAUGUUUUUGGACAUGACUUCUGGUCAGAGAGCCACCUGCUGUCUCUGUCUGUGUCCGAUCCAACAGCUGUGGUGGUCAGAUGGGUGGUGGUGCCGCUGUCUCUGCUGCUGGUGCAGGGGGCGUUGUGGCUGUACUUUAAGGCCAGCAGGGGGCAGAUCGGCAGACCGGGCGGACGCUGAGCGGAGUGCAGUGGAGGGAUGAAGUCGGUCCUCUGAACCUUCCUGCUGUGGAGACCAGAUGGUUUUUAUGAGCUUCUUACAGCAAUGAUGAAUCUCAUCAGGUUCCCACAGACAGUGGAACAAGGUUCCUUUUCCUUUUGUGGACCCUGGUGGAAAAACGAGCCUUGUUUUGCCGUAUACUGGACCACGGUGGAUGUCCUUUUUUAUCUCCUUUUUACUCCUUUUUCAUUGAUACGAUUUCAGUCGUAUCAUGGAUGCUCAUUUCAUCAUAUAUUAUCAUCUGCUGCCCUCAGGCUGACUGUGUUUAACUGACCAGAUAUUUUUGUGACUGUAAUCCAACUGAUUAGCUUGUUCUGCACCGAGGUGAGGCAGGAUGUGGUUUGCAGCAGGUGUGGAACCGUAUGGAACCGGACCAGUUUGUAUUUGGUCCUGAGUGGUUCCAUCUGGGCCUGAAGAACUCGUGUGGAUCUCACUGCCUGCAUGUCUUGUUUUUCUCCUCUCUUCCUUAUUAUUAUUAUGAUAAUUUUUUUUUUUUUUUUAGAAUUGAGGCUGCAGCUGGUUUCCUUGGUAACGAAACAGCAUCAGAGGACAUGUCCAUGUCACUGGAGCGUAUAAGUAGACCCUGUUUCCCAGUGGGUGGCGCUCUCACUCUCACUCAGAGCUCUUUGAAUGAUACGCUGUCAGUUUUCCUUUUCUGAAUUAUCAGAGAAAAGAUGGAACCCUGACCUGAAAUCUGGAGAGAGGUGACCUCCGAGGUUGAUGUUACCCAGAUACCAAAUUUAGACUAAAAACAGAUUAAUAUGAGCAGCAGAAUCUAAAAACUGCUCACCUGAAGUGACCAUAUUAAAAUAAUACAUGCCUGAAAUUUGAGACGUAACAGAACCAACGCAAAAUCAGUUCUCUUUGAUUUCUUCAUUUUUUGGUAUUUUACUU